GCCCAGGUGGCGAAAUGGUAGACGCACUAGCUUCAGGUGCUAGCGAUCGCAAGGUCAUGGAAGUUCGAGUCUUCUCCUGGGCACCA
Molecule: transfer RNA, 86 nt
Filed under: Acidocella sp.
Lineage: Bacteria; Pseudomonadati; Pseudomonadota; Alphaproteobacteria; Acetobacterales; Acidocellaceae
Also listed under: 1 other name
Description: tRNA-Leu
Rfam family: tRNA
About the family: Transfer RNA (tRNA) molecules are approximately 80 nucleotides in length. Their secondary structure includes four short double-helical elements and three loops (D, anti-codon, and T loops).
Source: RNAcentral